CAGCUGCAUCCCCAAGGCACCCUGGUGAAAAUGAAGGUCAGAAUAAAUGGCUUUGGUCGUAUUGUGCGCCUGGUCACCAGGGCUGCUUUUAACUCUGGCAAAGUGGAUAUUGUUGUCAUCAAUGACCCCUUCAUUGACCUCAACUACAUGGUCUACAUGUUCCAGUAUGAUUCCACCCACGGCAAAUUCCAUGGCACAGUCAAGGCUGAGAACAGGAAGCUUGUCAUCAAUGGAAAUCCCAUAAUCAUCUGCCAGGAGCGAGAUCCCACCAAAAUCAAAUGGGGUGAGGCAGGCGCUGAGUAUGUUGUGGAGUCCACGGCUGGGGCUCACCUACAGGGGGGGUGCCAAAGGAGUCACCAUCUCUGCCCUUUCUGCUGAUGCUCCCAUGCUUUUGAUGGAUAUGAACCACGAGAAGUACGAAAACAGCCUCAGAUUGUCAGCAAUGACUCCUGCACCACCAACUGCUUAGACCCCUUGGCUAAGGUCAUCCGUGACUUCAGCAUUGUGGAGGGACUCAUGACCACAGUCCAUGCCAUCGCUGCUACCCAGAAGACUGUGAAUGGCCCCUCUGGGAAGUUGUGGUGUGAUGGUUAUGAGACUCUCCAGAACAUCAUCCUGCCUCAACUGGUGCAGCCAAAGCUGUGAGCAAGGUCAUGCCUGAGCUGAAUGGGAAGCUCACUGGCAUGACCUUCCAUGUCCCCACUGCCAAUGUAUUGGUCAUGGAUCUCAUCUGCCGUCUGGGGAAGGCUGCCAAAUACCAUAAUAUCAAGAAGGUGGUGAAGCAGGCAUCAGAGGGCCCCCUCAAGGGCAUCCUGGGUUACACAGAGCACCAGGUUGUCUCCUCUGACUUUAACAGUGACACCCAUUCUUCCACCUUUGAUGCUGGGGCUGGCAGUGACCUCAAUGACAACUUUGUCAAACUCAUUGCCUGGUAUAAUAAUGAAUUUGGCUACAGCAACAGGGUGGUGGAUCUUAUGGCCCACAUGGCCUCCAAGACCACCAGCCCCCCAGACCACCAGCCCCAGCCAGACCAUGAGAGGGAGAAAAAGGCCCUUAGCUGCUGGGGUGCCCCUGCCUACUCAGUCCCCACCUCACCAAGAAUCUUCCCUCGACACAGUUUCCACACCAGACCCCCUAAAGAAUGGGAGGGGCCUAGGGAGCCCCACCUUGUCAUGUAA
Nycticebus coucang (slow loris) is the source of this 1178-nucleotide RNA transcript. It is a transcript of the gene named glyceraldehyde-3-phosphate dehydrogenase-like, with no coding region annotated. Lineage: Eukaryota; Metazoa; Chordata; Mammalia; Primates; Lorisidae. The record is from RefSeq and is a predicted model, not a curated record. The transcript has a single exon.